AGUGUAGCUUAGUGGGUAGAGUGCUAGCCUAGCAUGCAGGAGGCCCUGGGUUCUAGUCUCAGCACU
RNAcentral lists this transfer RNA (66 nucleotides) under Neotoma lepida (desert woodrat). It matches the Rfam family "tRNA". From Rfam's summary of the family: Transfer RNA (tRNA) molecules are approximately 80 nucleotides in length. Their secondary structure includes four short double-helical elements and three loops (D, anti-codon, and T loops). The record is from Rfam by way of RNAcentral. Lineage: Eukaryota; Metazoa; Chordata; Mammalia; Rodentia; Cricetidae.